GGUUGGUGCAAAAGUAACUGCGGUUUUUGCCAUUGAACAUAAUGGCAAAAAACUCAAUAACUUUUGCAC
Molecule: microRNA precursor, 69 nt
Organism: Pan paniscus (pygmy chimpanzee)
Lineage: Eukaryota; Metazoa; Chordata; Mammalia; Primates; Hominidae
Source: Ensembl